Molecule: long non-coding RNA, 484 nt
Filed under: Sus scrofa (pig)
Lineage: Eukaryota; Metazoa; Chordata; Mammalia; Artiodactyla; Suidae
Description: lncRNA (ENSSSCG00015013428.1)
Source: RNAcentral
AUGAGGAUCGGCUCUGAUUUCCCCGGGGGCCGCCCCAUCUCUACAGGACAGGCUUCGGCAGAUACCUGGGCUUCUCCUGAACCGCUGGGAGCAGACCAGACUGAAGAUACCUCGGUGGCAACAUGUAUGGAUUCAUCAACACCUGUCUGCAAUCUCUGGUGAUAGAGAAAUUUGGUGAAGAGACCUGGGAAAAACUAAAGGAAUGCUGCCCGUCUGAUAACUCAUCCUGCCUUUUUGGCCGUGAAUGUGUUUGCUGCUCUGUCUGGCUGCCCCAAAUCCUGUCAUCAGAACUGGAAGGGCCAGAGAAAUCAGUCUGGUUAGGACAUUCCGACUGGGGGACUUCCUUCCUAAAAGGUCCUAUCAGAAUAUUCAAGGGCUCAGAAAAUUUAAAAAUACAUGUGUAAUAUCGUGAUAUUAUAUAUACAUAUAUGUAAGAAAUUGGUUUUCUAAUAAAGAUGACUGAAAAUAAAACUUGAGAAAUAUU